UCAGGCCUAACACAUGCAAGUCGAACGAUAUAGUGGCAGACGGGUGAGUAACGCGUGGAAACGUGCCUUUCACUACGGAAUAGCUUUUGGAAACGAAAGGUAAUACCGUAUACGCCCUCCGGGGGAAAGAUUUAUCGGUGAAAGAUCGGUCCGCGUUAGAUUAGCUAGUUGGUGAGGUAAAGGCUCACCAAGGCGACGAUCUAUAGCUGGUCUGAGAGGAUGAUCAGCCACACUGGGACUGAGACACGGCCCAGACUCCUACGGGAGGCAGCAGUGGGGAAUAUUGCACAAUGGGCGCAAGCCUGAUGCAGCCAUGCCGCGUGAAUGAUGAAGGCCUUAGGGUUGUAAAAUUCUUUCGCCAGGGAUGAUAAUGACAGUACCUGGUAAAGAAGCCCCGGCUAACUUCGUGCCAGCAGCCGCGGUAAUACGAAGGGGGCUAGUGUUGUUCGGAAUUACUGGGCGUAAAGCGCACGUAGGCGGACUUUUAAGUCAGAUGUGAAAUCCCGAGGCUCAACCUCGGAACUGCAUUUGAAACUGGGAGUCUAGAGAUCAGGAGAGGUUAGCGGAAUACCGAGUGUAGAGGUGAAAUUCGUAGAUAUUCGGUGGAACACCAGUGGCGAAGGCGGCUAACUGGACUGAUACUGACGCUGAGGUGCGAAAGUGUGGGGAGCAAACAGGAUUAGAUACCCUGGUAGUCCAC
RNAcentral lists this ribosomal RNA (700 nucleotides) under uncultured bacterium. RNAcentral describes it as "bacterial SSU rRNA". It matches the Rfam family "Bacterial small subunit ribosomal RNA", at positions 42 to 798 of the family's 1533-position model. The record is from RNAcentral.